Molecule: ribosomal RNA, 253 nt
Filed under: uncultured bacterium
Lineage: Bacteria
Description: partial 16S ribosomal RNA
Rfam family: Bacterial small subunit ribosomal RNA
Source: RNAcentral
UACGAAUGGAGCGAGCGUUGUUCGGAAUCACUGGGCGUAAAGCGUACGCAGGCGGUCUUGAAAGUCAGGAGUGAAAUCCCAGGGCUCAACCCUGGAAUUGCUUUUGAAACUCCAAGACUAGAGUACUGGAGAGGUUGGCGGAAUUCCGAGUGUAGCAGUGAAAUGCGUAGAUAUUCGGAGGAACACCGAUGGCGUAGGCAGCCAACUGGACAGUUACUGACGCUCAUGUACGAAAGCGUGGGGAUCAAACAGG